This 407-nucleotide ribosomal RNA is filed under the name uncultured bacterium. RNAcentral describes it as "partial 16S ribosomal RNA". It matches the Rfam family "Bacterial small subunit ribosomal RNA", at positions 30 to 526 of the family's 1533-position model. The record is from RNAcentral.
AUUGAACGCUGGCGGCAGGCCUAACACAUGCAAGUCGAGCGGAGCACCGGCCGGGUGCGUAAUAGCAAGGAAUCUGCCUGGUAGUGGGGGAUAACGUCAGGUACCGGGAGCUAUUACCGCUAACUAUCAGAUUAGCCUAGGGCGGAUUAGCUAGGUGGUGGGGUAAAGGCAUACCAAGGCGACGAUCCGGAACUGUUCUGAGAGGAUGAUCAGUCCAACUGGAACUGAGACACGGUCCAGACUCCUACGGGAGGCAGCAGGGGGGAAGAUUGGACAAUGGGCGAAAGCCUGAUCCAGCCAUGCCGCGUGUGUGAAGAAGGUCUUCGGAUUGUAAAGCACGUUAAGUUGGGAGGCGUUACCAACAGAAUAAGCACCGGCUAACUUCGUGCCAGCAGCCGCGGUAAUAC